RNAcentral lists this transfer RNA (72 nucleotides) under Marmota monax (woodchuck). It matches the Rfam family "tRNA". From Rfam's summary of the family: Transfer RNA (tRNA) molecules are approximately 80 nucleotides in length. The record is from Rfam by way of RNAcentral. Lineage: Eukaryota; Metazoa; Chordata; Mammalia; Rodentia; Sciuridae.
GAGGGUGUAGCUCAGUGGUAGAGCACUUGCCUGGCAUGUGUGAGGCACUGGGUUCAAUCCCCAGCACCACCU